RNAcentral lists this long non-coding RNA (8032 nucleotides) under Gossypium barbadense (sea-island cotton). RNAcentral describes it as "long non-coding RNA (GBAR_LNC008523)". The record is from RNAcentral. Lineage: Eukaryota; Viridiplantae; Streptophyta; Magnoliopsida; Malvales; Malvaceae.
AAACAGAGAAAAACAGGGGAGAAAGAAAGGAAAGAAGAAAGAAAACGGGAAAUAAGGUUUAUGAAGCUUGGAGUUAAUUGCCAACAAAGAACCUGAAGCAUCAGCAUCGAAAGGAAAGGAGAAAGUCAUCGAGUACUAAAACGGGAGAAUUACGGUGUGUAUUACUAUAAUUCGAAUUUUAAUUAUUACUGAUUGCUGAAUUUUUUUUAUUGUUAUGUAUGGUAAGUAAGACUUGAGGUAAGUAUGUGAAAUUGAUAUGAAUAUUGAGUGAAAAUGAAAGUGAUGCAAAUUGAAUCAAAUUGAAUUGAAUAAGUGAAUUAUGGAAGAUGUAAUUAUUUAAAAAGCGUAUUGAUUAAAAAAUGAUUGGUGAUUUGAAUUGUGAAUUGAAAGUGAUAUAGGAUUGAGAAAGUGAAUUGAAUACCCUAUUAACUAGUCGGGCUGAGUCGGAUAUAGUUGGCAUGCCAUAGGAUUGGAAGUGUUCAGGGAUACUUCGACCUCGAGUCGAUGAGACACUGGGUGUCACUAUAUUUCUUCGGAUAGAUUCGAUGAGGUACUGGGUACCAACUUUACUUCGGCUAGGCCGAUGAGACACUGGGUGUCAACUAUUACUUCGAACUAUCCGAUGAGGCACUAGGUGCCAUAUUGGUGUGUUUGGUUGGAUCCGUGUAUCCGCCAAAGUCCGAGUUACGUUAAUAGGGUGAAAAAAUUGAAAUGUGAAUUUGAGGCAUUGAAACGAGAAAAAUAAAUUGAAUUACGAAUUGAAAUUGGAAUUGUGAUAAUAAGAGAAAAGUAUGAAAUGUAUAUUCAUAAGUGAUAUAAAUUUAAGUUUGAGAAAAUACAUUGAUUUAUGAAUUAGUACAUAUGACAUUAAUUGUUAGGUAUUUUAAUAUUUAUGUUUUUACUAUUGUUGAUAUAAUUUGAAUUAUGGUAAUAUCACUGAGUAUAUCCAUACUCAGCAUACGGUUGUUUCCGUGCGCAGGUUAGUAGAAGUCAAGUGUCCCGGUUCAGCAUCCAGAACAUUCCCGACUCCAACACAAAUUUGGUGAUGUAUAUUUUUCUUUUGGGUAAAGGUGGCAUGUACAUAGGUGUUAUAUAGUCACUUGAAUAUGCAUAUUACUUUGGGUAGUGAAGGUUGAAUUAUAAGAUUUAGAUGGUUAAAUGAAAUGGUAAGAAAAGUAUAUGAUAUUUUGAUACAUGAACAUUAAGUUGUUAAAUGAAUGAAGUUUUUAAUCAAUUUUGAAUGAUGCUAUGAUAGUUAUUAAGUUGAAAUUAUGUUAAUGAUAAAAAUAUUAGUUAUAUGAAUGUGAAAAAUUGGUGCUGGUUGUUUUAGUUUGAAUUUGCAGAAGGUUUUAGGUAAAAUAAGCAGACCGAAUUUUUUAUAAAAAAAAAAUUCAGAAUAUUCGAACAAGUUCCGUUCUACUUUUAACACGUGCUUGAACUUUGAGAGUUCAAGAUAGGGACUCAAUUAUUAUAUUAUACCAUAAAAGUUAUAUUAAUUGUAAAUUAUUAGUAAGUUGUCUGAUAUGUCCGGUAAUGCCUCAUAACCUCGUUUCGGUAACGGUUUGGGGUUAGGAUGUGUUACAAUUGUUGGUAUCAGAGCUAUCAGGUUUAGCCGAUUCUCGGGCUAAAUUGGGCUCGGAAGUGAGUUUAGAAGUACAUGCCACUGUCGAGUCGAAAUCGAGUCGGGAUUUCUGGAUGCUAAUGUAUUUAUUUGAUUUUUUUAUAGAUAAAAUGUCAGAUGAAAGAAUGGAUAAUGUUGAACAGGAAAUGUAUACUGGAAGUCGAGAAUUAGAAGAAACUGAAUCUGUUACACCUGGUGUGGAUCCGUUAAAUAAUCAAUCUCCUAACGUAGGGAGAGAAAGAAAUACCUCACAAGUGUUAAGAGAUAUAGCUGAUGCAUUACAGCAUAUAGUGAGAGCUAUACCUGCUACUACAUCUGUACCUACUGUCAGACAGGCCCCGAUUAAAGAGGUACGAAAAUAUGGUGCAACGGAAUUUCAGGGAUUAAAAGUAGCUGAUCCAUCCGUUGCUGAAAAUUGGAUAGAAACAACAAAAAGAGUUUUGCAACAAUUAGACUGCACCUCCCGAGAGAGUCUGAUAUAUGCUAUAUCACUGUUACAAGGAGAAGCGUAUCUCUGGUGGGAAUCUGUGGUUAGACAUUUACCGGAUGAUCAGGUAACUUGGGACUUGUUUCAAAAAGAAUUUCAGAAGAAGUAUAUUGGGGAAUUGUACAUCGAAGAGAAAAAGUAAGAGUUUUUAGUGUUGAAACAGGGGAAUAUGUCAGUACUGGAUUAUGAGCGAGAGUUCUCUAGAUUGAGCAGGUAUGCUUUAGAAUAUGUUCCAAUCGAGGCUGAUAGUUGUAAACGAUUUCUACGGGGACUACGAGAUGAAAUCAAGAUUCAAUUGGUAAGUCUCAAAAUUACUGAACUUGUUGAUCUGGUCGAGCGAGCAAAAAUGAUAGAACAAAUACUGGGCCUGGAUAAAAAAUCAGAAAUUGGUAAAUCAGCUGGGAAACGUAUGGGAACUACUAGUUUUAAUCCAUUACCGAAGAGAUUCAAAGAAUCAAGAAGUGACUGGAAAUCUAGUUUUAGUUCAGACAGAGGUGGUAGAAGCAGAGGUAAACAGAUGACAGUAACUACUAGCAGUGUGAGAGGUCCAUCUCGAGGUGUAGAAAUUCUAGACUGUGAGCACUGCGGAAAGAAACACAGAGGAGAAUGUUGGAAAGUAACUAGAGGUUGCUUUAGAUGUGGUUCUACAGACCAUUUUAUCAGAGACUGUCCGAAUACUGAUAGUGCUGCACCUGUAUCAUCACAAAGAUCAGUAUCUACUGCUAGAGGCAGAGGGUCAGGUAGAGGUAAUUCGGCUUCCAGAGGAGGUGCUGGUAGAAGGAGCAGUGAUAUUGCUACUCAGCAGUCUGAAGCCAAAGUACCAGCUAGAGCUUAUGUGGUCAGAAAACGAGAAGAAGGCGAUGCACAUGAUGUUGUUGCAGGUAUAUUUUUAUUGUAUUCUGAGCCUAUUUAUGCUUUAAUUGAUCCGGGUUCGUCACACUCUUAUAUAAAUUCAAAACUAGUCGAAUCGGGGAAAUUAGAAUCUGAAAUGUCUAAAGUUUCUAUAGAAGUGUCUAGCCCUUUCGGACAAACGAUGUUAGUAGAUAGAGUAUGUCAGAGGUGCCCGUUAAUAAUACAUGAUAAAAUGUUUCUUGUGGACUUGUUGAUCAUGCCUUUUGGUGAUUUUGAUAUCAUUUUGGGUAUGGACUGGCUAUAUGAACAUGGGGUAGUUUUGGAUUGCUAUAAAAAGGGGUUUAGUAUUCAGACAGAAAAUGGGGAUAGAAUUGAAGUGAAUGGCAUCCGUACCAGUGGUUCGACACGCAUUAUUUCAGCGAUGAAGGCUAAUAAAUUACUGCAGCAGGGUUGUCCAGCAUACUUGGCAUAUGUUAUUAAUUCUGAUUCAGUUGGGAGUCAGUGCAGUCAAAUUAGGAUUGUACGUGAGUUUCCAGAUGUAUUCCCAGAAGAAUUACCGAGUUUACCACCUGACAGAGAGGUUGAAUUUGCUAUUGAGGUGUAUCCAGGUACAACACUAAUUUCUAUACCUCCGUAUCGAAUGUCGCCCACUGAGUUGAAAGAGUUGAAGGUGCAGUUACAAGAUUUACUAGAUCGUGGAUUUAUUAGACCAAGCAUUUCACUCUAGGGAGCUCCAGUGUUGUUUGUUAAAAAGAAAGAUGGUUCUAUGCGGUUAUGCAUUGAUUAUCGACAGUUGAAUAAAGUGACGAUCAAGAACCGGUAUCCGUUGCCUCGUAUAGAGGAUUUGUUUGAUCAGCUUAAGGGAGCUUCAGUAUUUUAAAAAAUUGAUUUGAGAUCCAGGUAUUAUCAGCUAAAGGUAAAAGAAAGUGAUGUACCGAAGACAGCUUUCCGUACGAGGUAUGGCCAUUAUGAGUUUUUGGUAAUGCCAUUUGGGUUAACAAAUGCCCCAGCUGCUUUUAUGGAUCUCAUGAAUCAUAUCUUUCAGCCAUAUUUAGAUCAAUUUGUGGUGGUUUUUAUUGAUGAUAUAUUGGUUUAUUCAAAGUCAGAGUCAGAACAUGAUCGGCAUCUAAGGAUUGUGCUACAGACUUUACGAGAGAAACAACUAUAUGGAAAGCUCAGUAAAUGCGAGUUCUGGUUAUCAGAAGUGGUAUUUCUAGGACAUGUAGUAUCUGCAGAUGGAAUCCGAGUUGAUCCGAAAAAGAUUGAAGCAAUUGUUCAAUGGAAUGCACCGAUGAAUGUAUCUGAAGUACGUAGUUUUCUUGGUUUAGCUGGGUAUUACAGAAGAUUUGUAAAUGGAUUUUCAAAAAUAGCUUUGCCGAUGACCAAGUUGCUGCAGAAGAAUAUUCCUUUUAUUUGGGAUGAUCAGUGUUAGAAAAGUUUUGAAACAUUGAAGCGAAUGUUAACCAAGGCACCAAUUUUGACAUUGCCAGAAUCGGGUAAAUAUUUUGUAGUGUAUAGUGAUGCUUCUUUGAAUGGUUUGGGUUGCGUAUUGAUGCAGGAUGGGAAGGUAAUAGCCUAUGCAUCUCGUCAAUUGAAACCACAUGAAAGGAAUUAUCCCACUCAUGACCUUGAGUUAGCAGCUGUGAUUUUUGCAUUGAAAAUUUGGAGACAUUAUCUUUAUGGUGAAAAAUGCUACAUCUAUACUGAUCAUAAGAGUUUGAAGUAUCUUCUUUCUCAGAAGGAAUUGAAUUUGAGACAAAGGCGUUGGAUAGAGCUUCUGAAAGAUUAUUAUUGUGUUAUAGACUAUCAUCCGGGAAAAGCUAAUGUUGUAGCUGAUGCAUUAAGCAGAAAAGCUGUAAUUGAAUUAAGAGCAAUGUUUGCAUGGCUUAGUAUCAGUGAGGAUGGGAGUAUUUUGGCCGAAUUGAGAGUAAAACCGGUAAUGUUUGAUCAGAUUAGAUCAGCUCAGUUGGAGGAUAACAAAUUAUUGAAGAAAAGAGAGAUGGUACAGAAUGGCACAGUAGAAAAUUUUAGUAUUGAUGAUUGUGGAUGCUUGAGGUUUCAAAAUCAGAUUUGUAUUCCAAAUACUUCUGAGCUUAAAAAGUUGAUUCUACGAGAAGCUCAUGAUAGUUCAUUUGCUAUACACCCCGGAGGCACGAAAAUGUAUCGAGAUUUAAGAGAAUUAUACUGGUGGCCAGGGAUGAAAAGAGACAUAGUAGAAUUUGUAAGUAAAUGUUUGACUUGUCAACGGGUAAAGGUAGAACAUCAGGUUCCUACUGGAUUGCUUCAGCCUAUUAAUAUUCCUGAAUGGAAAUGGGAUCGUAUCUCGAUGGAUUUUAUUACGGGAUUACCGUUGUCAGCAAGCAAAAAGAAUGCUAUUUGGGUGAUAGUUGAUAGACUUACCAAGUCAGCACAUUUUAUAGCAGUCAGGACUGAUUGGUCGUUGCAGAAGCUUGCAGACGUGUAUAUUCGAGAAAUUGUUAGACUACAUGGCAUUCCGAUAUCAAUAAUUUCAGAUCGAGAUCCUCGGUUCACAUCGAGAUUUUGGAGACAGUUACAUGAGUCGUUGGGUACUAGACUUAGUUUCAGUACAGCUUUUCAUCCCCAAACUGACGGACAGUCCGAACGGGUAAUUCAGGUACUAGAAGAUAUGCUUCGAGCUUGUAUUAUUAAGUUUGAAGCAGGUUGGGAGCGAUAUUUGCCACUAGCUGAGUUUGUCUAUAAUAAUAGUUUCCAAUCUAGUAUUCAGAUGGCUCCGUAUGAAGCGUUAUAUGGUCGAAAAUGUAGAUCACCAGUAUGUUGGACGGAGUUGAAUGAAAGAAAAAUAAUUGGGCCGGAAUUGAUUCGUGAAACAGAAGAAACAGUCAAGAAGAUUCAACAGAGAUUAAAAGCAACUUUUGACAGACAAAAAUCUUAUGCUGAUCUGAAACGUCGGGACAUUGAAUAUUCAGUUGGAGAUAAAGUGUUUCUCAAAGUUUCUCCUUGGAAGAAAGUAUUAAGAUUUGGCCGAAAAGGAAAGUUAAGUCCUCGGUUUAUCGGACCAUAUGAAGUUAUAGAGAGAGUUGGACCAGUUGCUUACCGAUUAGCUUUACCUCCGGAAUUACAACAAAUUCAUGAUGUUUUUCAUGUUUCCAUGUUACGAAGGUAUCGAUCGGAUCCAUCUCAUAUUAUCUCUACUGAAAACAUUGAUAUUAGACCAGAUCUGUUAUAUGAAGAGGAACCAGUUCAAAUACUAGCUCGAGAAGUGAAAGAAUUAAGAAACAAACGAGUCCCUCUGGUAAAAGUACUGUGGAGAAGCCAUAGUGUAGAAGAAGCAACGUGAGAGCCAGAGGAAACUAUGAGAUCGCAGUAUCCUCACUUAUUUUCAGGUAAAAUUUCGAGGACGAAAUUUUUUUAAGGGGGGAGGAAAUGUAACAACCCAAAAUCUGUGGGCACCAGAAAAGUGUGUUAUCGGGCCUCCGUCUUAGUGAAAUAAGUUCGAAAAUAAUUAUUAAAAAUAUUUAUGAGUCUAGUAGUGUGUUUAAUUAGGUUUUAAUUAAGUAAAUUUAGCUUAAUUUAGAGUAAUUAGUAAAAAGGAUUAAAUUGAAUAAGAGUAAAAGUUUAAUUAUAGAUUAAAGAAAAAUUAGAAGGACUUAAGAGGAAAUUAAACUAUUUCCUAUAGCUGAGGCAGUUUAACGUGGAAAAUAUCAAAUAUUUUAUUGAUUAAAAAAAUAUAUAUUUAUUUAAUAAUUAAGUAUAUUAUAUUAUAUUAUAUUAUAUUAUAUUAUUAUAUAUAAAAGAAACAAAUAAGUUAAAAGAAAUAGAAUGAAAGCAAACGAAACAGAGAAGAACAGGGGAGAAAGAAAGGAAAGAAGAAAGAAAAGGGGAAAUAAGGUUUAUGAAGCUUGGAGUUAAUUGCCAACAAAGAACCUGAAGCAUCAGCAUCGAAAGGAAAGGAGAAAGUCAUCGAGUACUAAAACGGGAGAAUUACGGUGUGUAUUACUAUAAUUCGAAUUUUAAUUAUUACUGAUUGCUGAAUUUUUUUUUAUUGUUAUGUAUGGUAAGUAAGACUUGAGGUAAGUAUGUGAAAUUGAUAUGAAUAUUGAGUGAAAAUGAAAAUGAUGCAAAUUGAAUCAAAUUGAAUUGAAUAAGUGAAUUAUGGAAGAUGUAAUUAUUUGAAAAGCGUAUUGAUUGAAAAAUGAUUGGUGAUUUGAAUUGUGAAUUGAAAGUGAUAUAGGAUUGAGAAAGUGAAUUGAAUACCCUAUUAACUAGUCGGGCUGAGUCGGAUAUAGUUGGCAUGCCAUAGGAUUGGAAGUGUUCAGGGAUACUUCGACCUCGAGUCGAUGAGACACUGGGUGUCACUAUAUUUCUUCGGAUAGAUUCGAUGAGGUACUGGGUACCAACUUUACUUCGGCUAGGCCGAUGAGACACUGGGUGUCAACUAUUACUUCAAACUAUCCGAUGAGGCACUGGGUGCCAUAUUGAUGUGUUUGGUUGGAUCCGUGUAUCCGCCAAAGUCCGAGUUACGUUAAUAGGGUGAAAAAAUUAAAAUGUGAAUUUGAGGCAUUGAAAUGAGAAAAAUAAAUUGAAUUACGAAUUGAAAUUGGAAUUUUGAUAAUAAGAGAAAAGUAUGAAAUGUAUAUUCAUAAGUGAUAUAAAUUUAAGUUUGAGAAAAUACAUUGAUUUAUGAAUUAGUACAUAUGACAUUAAUUGUUAGGUAUUUUAAUAUUUAUGUUUUUACUAUUGUUGAUAUAAUUUGAAUUAUGGUAAUAUCACUGAGUAUAUCCAUACUCAGCGUACGGUUGUUUCCGUGCGCAGGUUAGUAGAAGUCAAGUGUCCCGGUUCAGCAUCCAGAAUAUUCCCGACUCCAACACAAAUUUGGUGAUGUAUAUUUUUCUUUUGGGUAAAGGUGGCAUGUACAUAGGUGUUAUAUAGUCACUUGAAUAUGCAUAUUACUUUGGGUAGUGAAGGUUGAAUUAUAAGAUUUAGAUGGUUAAAUGAAAUGGUAAGAAAAGUAUAUGAUAUUUUGAUACAUGAACAUUAAGUUGUUAAAUGAAUGAAGUUUUUAAUCAAUUUUGAAUGAUGCUAUGAUAGUU